CCUGCCCCUACAGGCGUUGCAGCGCGGCUGCAUGUAUCGUGUUUGUGUCAUUGGGUGGCGUACAAGAACAAGGCUAUCUACACUCUGCGUCCUGACAAAAUGGGCGUUCAGAAUGAUUACUAGCCUGACACU
Acipenser ruthenus (sterlet) is the source of this 132-nucleotide small nucleolar RNA. RefSeq annotates it as small nucleolar RNA SNORA17. The record is from RefSeq and is a predicted model, not a curated record. The transcript has a single exon. Lineage: Eukaryota; Metazoa; Chordata; Actinopteri; Acipenseriformes; Acipenseridae.